GUGCUUGCUUCGGCAGCACAUAUACUAAGAUUGGAAUGAGAAGAUUAGCAUGGCCUCUCAAGGAUGACAUGCAAAUUCAUGAAGCAUUCUAUAUUUUU
This 98-nucleotide small nuclear RNA is filed under the name Meriones unguiculatus (Mongolian gerbil). The record is from RNAcentral. Lineage: Eukaryota; Metazoa; Chordata; Mammalia; Rodentia; Muridae.